Non-coding RNA from Pelobates cultripes (western spadefoot toad), 1104 nucleotides. Lineage: Eukaryota; Metazoa; Chordata; Amphibia; Anura; Pelobatidae. The record is from the annotation of a GenBank genome assembly.
CGAAGAAACUGAGAUACUUAUUUAUGAGGACAUAAACUUUGCACGCAAGAACCUGGAAAGUCCUGAAGGUGCAGUGCUGUCUAAUGCCGCUGGUUCUGUAAUAACCCUUUCAACCAUUGGGGUGUUGCACAGAGCUUUGUGGUGAAAAUCCAGCAAACAAAAGAAGAACUAAGAACUAUAUGGAAGCUGACAUUGUCUUGUUGUCAGCCAUAUUGCUACCCUUAGCCAUUUUUAUGGAACAAAAUGUCUGGUGUCUAACCUGAUUUCUUUAUACUCUGUGAAAGACUUAUUCUAUUUUUCUGAACUAUGCUGAACUAUUGAACUAUUUUUAUUUUUAUUUUUGUAGAGUUAGCCAGAGAGAGAGGAAGUGUUAGCUGACCCAGGGAUGGAUGUACUAUGUGUGUUUUUUAUAUAUGUUGAGUGUGCCAGGGAUGGAUUCCCAUGUUUUGAGGAACUGCGUGAGGAUAUGACUGGUUUUGACUGGACUUUUGGAAUAGGGAAAUGGUUAAAAGAUAUAGGACGCAAGGUCCUGGUUGUGCUAUAAUAUAGUUGCUAUAAGCCCAAGUUCCAUUCUGUCUUAAACAUCCAUUUUCUAUAUAUCUGUCUGCAAAAGUAUUAAGUGGUUUUUGUUUUGUUUUUUUUCUGCUGAGUUUCUGUUUCUUGUAGACCACAUGAUUGCUUGGGAAUGCCAUAAUGUGGAAAUUUCUCUGUCUUGGGAGAAUGUUAUCCGAUGAUAUGAGCAAUAUAUAUUGCUCAAAGAGGGGUAACAAUUGUGAUUAUUGGGGCUCAGUUGGAUGGAACACCGGGACAGAUUGGGGUUAUAAGCCACAGAAUGCAUUAGAUAAAAAGGAUACGAAUGGGAAGUCCCUCUUGACUAGAAUGACCCUAACAAAGCCAGGUACAUGUACCCCUAUAGGGCAAACUGGGCACUCCAUGAAAUUUACCUUAAAUAUUGAAAACCCCAGUCCUGGAGAUCAAGGUAUUUAUAUUCUCAGUACCUUUUUAAGAGGAGGUAUUGGAGGUAAUCGAGGAAAAAUCCAGUUAAAAGAUAUAUGGAACUCCUCAAAAUGGGAAAGCCUCACCUCUAGACAAACUCUUGUUAAU